Molecule: ribosomal RNA, 453 nt
Filed under: uncultured bacterium
Lineage: Bacteria
Description: partial 16S ribosomal RNA
Rfam family: Bacterial small subunit ribosomal RNA
Source: RNAcentral
AGCGAACGCUGGCGGCAGGCUUAACACAUGCAAGUCGAACGCUCGUAGCGAUACGGGAGUGGCAGACGGGUGAGUAACGCGUGGGAACGUGCCCUUUGGUUCGGAAUAACUCAGGGAAACUUGAGCUAAUACCGGAUAAGCCCCUUACGGGGGAAAGAUUUAUCGCCGAAGGAUCGGCCCGCGUCCGAUUAGCUAGUUGGUGAGGUAAUGGCUCACCAAGGCGACGAUCGGUAGCUGGUCUGAGAGGAUGAUCAGCCACACUGGGACUGAGACACGGCCCAGACUCCUACGGGAGGCAGCAGUGGGGAAUAUUGGACAAUGGGGGCAACCCUGAUCCAGCCAUGCCGCGUGAGUGAUGAAGGCCCUAGGGUUGUAAAGCUCUUUCGACGGGGACGAUAAUGACGGUACCCGUAGAAGAAGCCCCGGCUAACUUCGUGCCAGCCGCCGCGGUAA